Long non-coding RNA from Harpia harpyja (harpy eagle), 7094 nucleotides. RefSeq lists it as uncharacterized. The record is from RefSeq and is a predicted model, not a curated record. The transcript is spliced from 4 exons. NCBI's taxonomy places the organism in Eukaryota, Metazoa, Chordata, Aves, Accipitriformes, Accipitridae.
GCGCAGGCCCCAGAGGAAGCAAGGCAGCCACGGGAGGUGGCUGACGGCCGGGCGCAGGCGGCAGGGCUCGCCUUGUGCCGCAGGAGCGCAGGGGACAGGCACGGCGGAGUUAAAGCCCUUAGCCCGACUCUGCUAAAAACCCACGUCGCAUGGUUUGUGUGCACGGGCUGCUCCAGUUCGCCUGGGGUUUACCGCACAUUUUCAUCGUGCUUGCAGAAUUGCUGUUAUCACAAAUUGCAAAAACCGACCUCAUCCUCAUCUGAUCAGAGUGAAACCAGCACAGCUCUGCACGUCUCCAGCGUGUCUGGCCUGCUGAGCGCUCCUGUGGGGCACACGGUUAUUGCUCAGAGAUGCUUCCGUUUGCUGCUUUGGGAUUUAUUUCUUUUCAUUGCAGACUCUUUGCCUCGGCCUGUGAAAGCAGUUGGUGACCGUUGCAGCCAGGGUACUCGCUGCCUUUGCUACUGGCCAUGACAUGGCUUUUUGCUGAGGGCUGACAUGGCCUUUCCAUAUGCAAAUGGUGCAGUAAUACAGCUGACGAUGACAGAGAGCCUGAGCAGAGGGUCCGGGCUGCCACCAAAGCCCCGCUGAGCAGAGGCGCAGCCGGAGCUGACUGCGAAGCCCAUCCCAGCCUCUCCGCUCCCUGUCUCAUCGGGUGAGCAGCACCCCUCGGGGUCGCCCUGUCCCGCUGGGGCGAGGCGAGCAGGGCACCCACUAUCUCCCCACUGCCAGUGCCUGUGUUUCACCCCGAUAGCUCCUUCCAUCCCAAUAGCUCCUCGCGUCCCAAUAGCUUCUUCUGUCCCAGCCCUUGUCUCUGUGAUGGGACAGUGGUGCAGAUGAAUGAGUGGGGCUGGCAGGCAGGCAGUCUGGGAGGCCCUGGGUAUUUCCCAGGUGCAAAGCUGCUGGUUAAAGUAGUAUGUUUAAUAAUUAUUGCAAGUCCUGCGUGGAGGACACGAGCCGGAGGCACCACAUGGCUUAUCAGCACCAGUCCCCACGACAAACCUUGUGUGCCGCUGGGCUGCGGUGCAGCUGGGGUUGGAGGAUGGCAUGUGCAAAAUAUUGGGGAGCACUGCAGAUUUCUUUCACUAGAGCUUACCACACAUUUUUGGCUGUAAGUGAGCCAAGCCAGAGCUCAGCCCCUUCCAAUGCCCGCAGCCCUCCUGGGCGAGCCACUGGCGGGGGCUCUGCGGGCGGCUGGGCAGCAGGUCGGUGCUGGGGAGAGGAAAGCCCAGGUAACGUGCACAAGAAAUUAGGGCUUUCACAAGAUGCCGUAAUGAAUUGCAGCCCCAAGUUCCAGCCAUGCUCUGCCUACGCCCACAGCGUGCUGCAGGGGCAGAGUUACCCAGCUCAAUGCCACCACCGCCACAACGGCAGAGCAUCUGUGUCAAGGGCCAGCGCGGGGCCGUCAGCACUGCGGGAACACAGAGCCACAGCGCCCUGCCUUCAUAUGCUGUGUCAUAAGCUAGGAUCAUAUGGUACAUCUUGCAGCAGUAAUCAAGUGACUGAAAAUCAGGACAUGAAAGGGCUUUGGCAAUGCCAAAAGCAAAACGUAAGGAAAAACUUUUCCCUUCCCCUUACUAUGUAGAAGUUCAAUAUUGUGCAGAUGAUCUGAAAUUUUCUGAAGUGCUAAAGGCUGACUGUGGGACAUAAGUGUUUGAUGUUGGGUACAGGGAUCUUCUGCUUCUCAAAUAAAUGAGACACUUCUUCACAGGGAAGUCUUCGGACUUUCCAGGCAAGAGGUAAUGGCAGAAACUUGAUAUUGUUGGAGGCUGGCUGUAGGAAAUGCAACUGCUAAUGGCUAGCAUUGAUGUUCUGCUGCACUUUGGACUUAGAAGUACGUGUUUUAUUGUGACGGGUGAAGGGAAGCUGAACUUUAAAGGCUUCACUUGCUGUAGCAGGAGGCCUCCAGUUGAAUGUCCAGCUUGACUCCAGCCCAGUCCGCACCACUCACCGAGUCAGCCUGCGCCUGGGGUGCCCCACGCAAGGAAAGGGAAGAGCGGCAGCUUGAGCUGGACCCCCGACGCGGGCAGCACGAGUGCCUGCUCCAGAGAAAAGUGACAGCUACCUCUGGAAGAGUGACCGGCUCGGUACUGCUGCAUACUGGGGCACCGAACAGUCAAGGCCAUGAAGUGGGAAGUACACUGUAUUCCCUUGAUUCGGCAGGGCAAACACAGUCACCACCACCCCGUGGGGCUCUGCAGCAUGUCACCCAAGCACGGUGCUGAAAACACAGCAGCGACCGUCUGCGUUCACAGGAGUGUGGGAGAAAAGUGUCAUUAGUGCAAAUGCAGGGGCCAGAAGCGCUUGUACUACAGACGACUAUUGAUUUCCAAAAAGAAAGCGACUGAUGAAUUGCUGCAGGUCCAGCUCUAGAAGAUGCCCAAGUGCUGCUUGACCCAGCGCUCUCCACGUGCCCGCAGGGAGUGACUCCCCCAGCAGAAGCAGACAAAGAUGAAUGGCUCAUUUCCCCCUAAUGCACCACAGAAACAGGCUUUUAUGACAAAUAGAGCACAGACCAAGACGGAAAGGGCGACAGUCAUUUUCGAAGGUCACACAUACCAUUUCUUUAUGGCAAGUUUGCCUUCUGUGACUGACAAAAGCAGGACAGAUCAAGCGUCUUCCAACAGACCUGGAUUAAAAAUGAAGUCAUGUUACUUGGAGCACUGACAGUCCCACCAGAAAUAAUAGAGGCUGCUGACAGUUCUGGCUUCACAAUAAAAAGCAUCUUCCCACGUUGUCAAAAGAGCUUCUCUGGUAUGGGCAUAAAUAAGGCAUUAUUUGAAUGGAAAUGUUGAUGGCAAAGAGCUAUAAAUCAUAUUGGUCUGUUGUAAAAAUACACCGUAGCUGAAAAAUGCGUUCUUGUUUCUUAUACGUAUGAAAAUACAUGUGUGUGUAUAAACAAGAUAUGUAUAUCUAUUCAUAUGUUUAUACAUUUGUGUAUAAUUCUACGUAUGUGUUGUACACAUGUCGGUAAAUAAAAAUACUUAGUAAUCAGUCCUUCCCCUAAGAGCAAACAGUUGGUGUGAUGCACUGAAGUCUGUUGUGCAAGAUUUGGCUAAGUAUCUUUCCCAUACAUAAAGGUUGUAACAUAGCAACCAUUGUUUUCUGCUCAGAAGACGCUAUUUCCAAGCUAAUUGUUCCUAGCCUUAUUAGUGGCUGCUGUCACGGCUCUUGAUGCACUACUGAGCCGGACGAGAAGCACAGCGGCUUUGAUCAACUACAGUCUUGAUGAAGCUGGCCUUGGAGAAAGAGGCGUCGCAAACAAGGGCUCACCCUUUGAUGGCACGCUCUGUGGUGAAGGAGAUAUUUAGCUUAAGAGCCUGAAGUGUUGAGACGGCCUUACUGUGACGGCAAGCUGCGCCUGGCUGCUGACUGGGCUUGUGGCCACGGCUCGGGAAGAACCCACAGCCUGAGGCCACGCUGCAAACCCUGAGCCGAAAGCGGUCAGCUCUUUUACUAUGUCAUAUGUAUGCAUAAAUACGUACAUACAUAUACACACACGCAUCCCUGCGUGCACGUCGGGAUGAAGAAUUCCAGCUCUCAAUGUUCAAAACAACUUUCUUCACCUAAAGGACCAAAGCAGCUGACCCCAAGGGACAGUACCUGCAGCGUCCAGCUGCUGAGUCCGGACGAUCACCGCUACCAUGGCACUGCUGCUAGAAACUGGGGGUGCCCCCAGCGCCCCGGGGGCCGACACUAACGGGAACACCACGGGAGCAUCCUGCGGUUGCUGCUGCGAGCGAAACCCCUGGCAGGGAGAAGGAAGGGAGUUAAACAGAAGUACCAGCCCAAGUACCUCUCUUCUAGCAGGCACCGUCCCCGGAGGGGCACUGGCUACUCGCCUGGGGACAGGACGGGGAUCGGCCUGUGACCGCAGAGGCCAGGGCAGUCCCGACCCCGUGCCCUGGCAGGCAGGCACCCACAGCGGGCACGGCCAGCAGCGGGCACGCUCCCCCCGCCGCCAGGCUCGUGGCCGAUGGAAGUGUCGGGUGCAAUGCCAAUAUAGGGUUAUAUAAAUGUAAAAGCAUUUUAUAUAAGCCUAUUUUAUCUGCAAAUCAUUUAUAUUUAGAACACCUAUUUCUACUGGAAACACUAAAACCAUAUUACAUAAGAGCUUGUUUAAAUCCUUUGGCUUAAGGUUUGGGCAGGGGGAGGGGCUGGUUCAGGCAUGGUGCAUUCAGGCUGCGUUUUAUAAUCAGAGCCUCAACAGGCAGCCGAAAGCUGGUCUUGGAAUCCUUUUUGCUUUCACUCCACACUGCCCUGACAAUAGCAGAAUGCUUCGUUGGAGGGAAAUUUUCCUCUCCCUCAGUGCUGCCUUCAUGUUCGGAAAUUUUCAUUUGUAACGCUCUGGAUGUCUUGCCAACACAGCAGAGACGGCAGCUCAGCACUGCCCGGCCAGCCUCCUGAAGUCCGGGCUGGUACAGCAGGUGGGAACGCUACUGACAUCACCUGAGUGACUGCGGCGUCGUUCUCAGAAAUUAAAAAAAAGCAUUAAUUGGAACCAACUAUUUAGCAAUAUAAAAUGACUUACCUCGGCAUUCACGCAACAAUAUUUUCUAAUGAAUUAAUUAUUCCCCAAGCCCUUUCCUGAGGGGAAGGCAGGAAAGAUGGUGACAGUGGCCAUAAAAUACACGUAAAACUGCACCGGAGGCAGCUGAACCACUUUGGAUACGCGGCCACGUGACUGCAGAAGUCGGCCCUAGGGCCAGCUCACGCUGCUCUGCCACGGCCGUGAAAAGGUUUGUUUCCCAUCAUAUGCCAGAACAAACUGCUUUACUACAGGGUUGGGGUAAGACUGCACGGCGCUGCGUCGUUGGGCCACGCGACGGUAAGAGCCUGGGGGACGAGGGGCCGGUGGGGCUUCCCGCAGGACUCCUGAGGAAGCAGAGCAGCUCUGAGAGCCGAGGCAGAGACGGUCACCGCUGCGCCCUCCGGCAUCACCCCCGCAGCUGGGCACGGCGCGCACCGGGGUCACCGUCCACCCCGAGGCUGGGCACUGCCCCAGCUUCGCAGCGUGCGUCCCAGCGAGCCCCGCUCCUUUGCCGCCGCAAAGGCCAGCCGGCGAACCCCAGCACAGCCCAGCAUCCUUACUCGCCUUUCCAAGGUGGCACGGCCGGACCAUUGUCUCCAGGCGGGAUGUGCUACCUCUACCAAACGCCGCCGCUCCCCGGCACCGGCACACUUUGCUCUCCAAAAGGAGCAGCGCUGAGCUCUCCCGCUGCUUUCUCAUCUGGACGCUGCCUUUAAUCACCAUCACCACUCCAAUUCUCCCUGCAGCUGCUCCAUAUUCAGAUGACAUGGUUCAUUAGUUUCUAUAAAUGGCCAGGACAUUUCAUAGAUUUCAGGGACAAAGUAAGAGCUAAAGCUGUAAAUGACUUCUUCUCCUUACCUGAAGGCUUCUUGCAAGGUGACUCAAACUCUAGCAUCUGGUGGAGCCCAGUUUGUCCCACCCCAGCCAGCACCCUGCUCCAGCAGGGCGAGCCUUAACCGCUCCAUCUUCCAUUUUCCCUGCUAUAAAGUGGAAAAGACAACACACAAAUUUCUUAGGGGUGCGGGAGGAAAGCAAUUAACAUUUGAGCAUGCUGCAAAACCUGCUGGGACUUUCUUUCCCUCACCAGGAAGCGAAGGUGGCUUAAACUGUUCGAAACCGAUCUCAUUCCCAAAUUUCUGUGAGCUCAAAUUUCUGGGCGGGUGAUGGGGCUGGGGAGGCGCGUGGCAGCGAGACGCCAACCGGCUGCCCUGACACCUGGAGGAAACGUGCCCCGCUGGCAAAUUACCCAAGGGCACGAGCAGAGGGGUCUCCAGCUUGAUUUUUACAGCAGCUUCGUGAGUAUUUUAAGGAGAAGGUGGGGAAGGGCCGAGGCGGUCUGCCGCUGACCUGCUGCCACUGUCCUCGCUGGCGGCGUGCGGGGCAGCCGGAGCUUUCCCAACGCCAGGCUGCCCGAGCCCCCCAGGGGACGGGGGCCCAGUGCCAGGCAGCUGCCCUGCCGGCUUGCCCAGCUCCCCACCGCUGCACAUGGCCGCUCAAUUAGCUUAAGCAAAUUCUUCUCAUACUUCACUUUAGCCAGACACUGUAAAUUGGAUUAAAGUGGUGCCUGGAGAGACUUCUAGAGCCAAAUAUUUAAAACUAACAUGAACUUGAGCUGUUUUCUGGGCUGCCACAGGGGUGCCCUCCCCACCCCCCAGCGUGUGGGGGGCUCCCCAGCUCCAGCUCCGUGGGUUUGAAGCCAGCUCUCCUGCGACACUGCCCGCAGAUGCUAAAAUUGAUGUCAAAGCCUGCAACAGCAAAGAAGUUUAGCUGAAAAACAUAUCUUUCAUUUCUGCUUGGACAAAAUUUUACUGGGGCUGAUUGUUAAAGGAGCUGGGCAUCCCCCUGCUCCGGGGAACUGCCUGAGCUCCCAGGGCAGGCAGGCCGCUAACUCCAGCUAAUUAUUUCACUUUAAGCAGUCCAUCACCUUCUAUUAUUUCUCACCUGUCAUAAAAGUCAAGUGGUGUAGUGAACAUCUGUGAUGUUCAUGGAUGAGCAUAGCAUUUCAGCUAUUUUAUGGAGCCGGAAGGCAAAUCCGUCUCAUUUUUUGAACGUGGAAGAAGAGAAACCGAGGCCAUCGGAAAUACUAGUCAUGCCGGCAGUCUAAGGACCCAGAUCAUCUGCAAUGCUGCUGAGAAAAGUAACCUGCAGAUACACCUGGGAAACCCAGGGGAGCCCAGCUUUGCUGCUGCGGGACCUGCACGGUGCUGGGCAGAGCCUGGGGCAGCCCACCGGUUCCUGAGCUUUCCUUCCUCUGCUGAAAGGCUACAGAGCACUACAAUGACGCCUGUCUGGUUGUGGCACCUAACUGGGAGAAGACCAGAUGAUCGAGACGAAUCACUCUAUGUUAACCAGCCCAGCUGAAUAAAACUGAUGACACGGUCCUCACCCAAGGACUGUUUUGCAUCCAUCUGAGUCUGCAUUGUAUUGACAAACACUGGUGACUUGCAAUGUAUACAGCAGAUUCAAUUUGACCAUGGAAGGCAAAUAAGUGGAUAGCAGUUUGGACUCAUGGAAGACGGCAAUUUUUGUUUUAUCUUAAAGAAUAAAGCAGUUUGGCUUAGCCUCA